RNAcentral lists this ribosomal RNA (253 nucleotides) under uncultured bacterium. Its description in RNAcentral is "partial 16S ribosomal RNA". It matches the Rfam family "Bacterial small subunit ribosomal RNA", at positions 524 to 776 of the family's 1533-position model. The record is from RNAcentral.
UACGGAGGGUGCAAGCGUUAUCCGGAAUCACUGGGUUUAAAGGGUGCGUAGGCGGCUUAAUAAGUCAGAGGUGAAAGGCUGUGGCUCAACCAUGGGAUUGCCUUUGAUACUGUUAGGCUUGAAUCAGGCUGAGGUUGGCAGAAUGUGGCAUGUAGCGGUGAAAUGCAUAGAUAUGCCAGAGAAUACCGAUUGCGAAGGCAGCUGACUGGCCCUUGUUUGACGAUGAGGCACGAAAGAGUGGGGAGCGAACAGG